RNAcentral lists this long non-coding RNA (425 nucleotides) under Phoenix dactylifera (date palm). Its description in RNAcentral is "long non-coding RNA (PDAC_LNC022285)". The record is from RNAcentral. Lineage: Eukaryota; Viridiplantae; Streptophyta; Magnoliopsida; Arecales; Arecaceae.
AUAGAUAUAUCAUAAUCCGAUCUAAAUAUGCAUAACGAUGCAAGAACAGUAAUAUAACAAUAGUCCGAAAAAAUAUUAUUCCAAUUCACAUAUCCAUUUUUCAUUCAAAGCAUCAUCUCAUAAAAUUCAUAAAUCAUAUAUAAAUUCAUUAACAAUUUACUUGAUGCAAAAAUAAUAUUAUAUAAAUGAAGAGUCUAGAGAAGGCAGUUCAUUACUUACAUUGAACGCGAUCUACAACAAAUCCAAUUAAUCUCACAAAUUCCUCGCAGAACCUAAUAUCCAAAAAUCAUAUUUUCUUUUAAAAUUAAUUACAAUAUAUAUAAAACUUAAAUGUUAACAUUCUUCCAGGGCCGACCCUGCAGAAGUGUCUAGCCCCCCCAGGUUCGGGUUCGGAUUUGGGUUCAUACCCGUAAACCACCCUCUCC